UUUAGAUUUAGAACGUCGUGAGACAGUUCGGUCCCUAUCUGCCGUGGGCGCUGGAGAACUGAGGGGGGCUGCUCCUAGUACGAGAGGACCGGAGUGGACGCAUCACUGGUGUUCGGGUUGUCAUGCCAAUGGCACUGCCCGGUAGCUAAAUGCGGAAGAGAUAAGUGCUGAAAGCAUCUAAGCACGAAACUUGCCCCGAGAUGAGUUCUCCCUGAGACUUWRAGUCUCCUGAAGGAACGUUGAAGACGACGACGUUGAUAGGCCGGGUGUGUAAGCGCAGCGAUGCGUUGAGCUAACCGGUACUAAUGAACCGUGAGGCUUAACCUU
This 327-nucleotide ribosomal RNA is filed under the name Salmonella enterica. RNAcentral's name for it is "partial 23S ribosomal RNA". The record is from RNAcentral. Lineage: Bacteria; Pseudomonadati; Pseudomonadota; Gammaproteobacteria; Enterobacterales; Enterobacteriaceae.